UUUCCUACGGGGGGCAGCAGUGAGGAAUAUUGGUCAAUGGCCGAGAGGCUGAACCAGCCAAGUCGCGUGAGGGAAGAAUGUCCUAUGGAUUGUAAACCUCUUUUGUCAGGGAGCAAAGUCACCCACGUGUGGGUGUUGGAGAGUACCUGAAGAAAAAGCAUCGGCUAACUCCGUGCCAGCAGCCGCGGUAAUACGGAGGAUGCGAGCGUUAUCCGGAUUUAUUGGGUUUAAAGGGUGCGUAGGCGGGGUAUCAAGGCAGAGGAAAAAUCGGGGAGAGC
This 278-nucleotide ribosomal RNA is filed under the name uncultured bacterium. Its description in RNAcentral is "partial 16S ribosomal RNA". It matches the Rfam family "Bacterial small subunit ribosomal RNA", at positions 335 to 610 of the family's 1533-position model. The record is from RNAcentral.